AAGACAUCACUGAAGCAAGAAGAGAGUCUUGGAAGAAGCUUGAUCAACCAAGACACACUUGCCACAAUUCAAGCCAUCUCAGCUCCAAGAUAGACAUCAAAUGAGCAAGUAACAUAUGUGUGCUCUUUUUCCCUAUCUUUGGUUUUGUCCCACUGGGUUUUCCAAAGAUAGGUUUUUAAUGAGGCCAUAUGUUGCUUUCCUAUCACUCAUUUGAUGAUCUCAGUUCAAGACUUUAUUUUAAUUAUUUAUCUUUGUUAACAUGAAGCAGAAUUAGGCUGCUAGACUUGAGAAUUAGGCUGCUAGACUUGAGAAUUAAGCUGCCAGACUUGAGAACCCUUAUAAGGUUUUAUAAAGUUUUUAUAAGAUUUUAUAAGGUUUAUUUUUAAGGCCCAUUUAGAGACCAAGGAGCCUGUUCCUUGCCUUCUCUAUAAAUACAAGGUUUUUAUAAGGUUUUAUAAGGUUUAUUUUAAGGCCCAUUUAGAGACCAAGGAGCCUGUUCCUUGCCUUCUCUAUAAAGUUUUUAUAAGAUUUUAUAAGGUUUAUUUUUAAGGCCCAUUUAGAGACCAAGGAGCCUGUUCCUUGCCUUCUCUAUAAAUAUGUGUCUGAAAACCCUAAUAGAUCUAUCCAAUCUUUAUUUCUAAACUCUUGUUUCUCUCUAGUCGGCCACAAGCUUGUCUUGUAGAUCUGAGAUUUCUUGAGUCUUUGUUAGUGUGUCAUAUCUAACAAAACCACAAGAGUGAUUGUCUUGGUGUGUCAUAUCCAAGGGAUUCACUUAGGAGUAUCAAGGAGACCUCUCACAUCUCUUUGUGUCACCAUUCAUUCCACAAAUCUUGAAGCAGAUUGAGUCUUUGAUUCUCUGUUUGCAAGGAUCUAUCCCAUUCCAACCAGAGAAGCAUCCUAGGAGUGUAUUAUGUGGUAUCAGAGCAACUCUGGCUAGCGAAGUUCUCGUUUUCUUUAAGUUUUCACUCAAAUCUGUCUCUUGGUUUCAUAAGAAGCAUCCUAGGAGUGUAUUACAUAAAGUGGUGGAGAAUCACCAGGAAGUUGAAUAAAUCUCAUAGGAGUUGGCAUGAAGUUAUGUGGUAUCAGAGCAACUCUGGCUAGCGAAGUUCUCGUUUUCUUUAAGUUUUCACUCAAAUCUGUCUCUUGGUUUCAUAACUAUUGAUAGAUCUGAGUUUUGUUGUGUUGUUUCUGUCGAUUUGAUUCACUCUGAGUUCAGUAUUGCAAGAUCUGUUGCUGUGUGUUUUUAAAUUGAUAGAUCUGAAAGUUUCUAUUUUAGAUCUGUGAUAGAUCUGAUCAUCUCUUGUUGUUUCUUUGAUUGAUCUAUGAUUGUGUUGUUGAGUUUUAAUAGAUUCAAGCUUGUUGAUCUCGUUUCUGAUAAAAACUUUUUAUAUUCUUGUUGCAGAAGUAAUCGAUUUGCUUAAUCUGUUUCUGUUUUGGAUUUGUGUGAUUCCGAUCUGUUCGUAUUGCUUUGAAUAUAAUCUAUCUUGUUUGGUUGAUUAGAUUUCGAAUUUAAUCUGUCUCUGUUUAAGAUUGAUCGAUCAUAUUGCGUUGGUGAAUUGUUCUGAUUAUCAAACUGUUUUAUUUGAUUUGCUUGUCGUUAUAAAAUUGAUCUGUUGUUAAUUCUGAGUGUUGUUUCUCUUAGAACUAGUUACUGGUUUCUGUUUUAUUUGUGUCUCAGGUACCAACGGAGAAGGAGCACAAAGGAAAACAUCAGCCAAAGAAAAAUAGAGAAUGCUCAAGAUCAACCAGAGAUGAGUACAGGCAAAAAGAGUUUGACCAGUUUGACAGGAACCGGAAGCAUGCUGUCUAUGAAUUUCAAAUCCCUCCAUUCCAUGGCAUGGCGGCUCCUGAAGCUUAUGUGAAGUGGGAAAAGAAGAUUGAGUUGAUUUUCAGUAGUCAACACUAUGCUGAAAGAAAGAAGAUUCAAAUGGCUACUGCUGAGUUUUGUGGUCAUGCUUUAAGAUGGUGGAAUCAGUUGAUAAAGUGCAGAAGACUUGAUGGAAAAGAACCAGUGGAAACAUGGCUUAAGCUGAGGGCUUUGAUGCGUAGAGAGUACGUUCCAAGACAGUACCACAAGGAAGUUUUUCAAAAGCGGCCUGAGACAAAGCUAUGUUCUUCAUUAUCAGUUCAGAAACAACCAGACCGCAAGAGAUCAAGUCCAUCUAGUAACCUGGUUUCAUCAAGCAAAACAUCAACCCAUUCCUUUGAAGAUAGCAUAAGGAAGGCAAUUUCACAAGCGUUUAGGGAUGUGAAGAAACAAUUUAAACAGUCCAAGACUAUAUCUCCAUCCUUAGAAGUACAGAACCAAGCGCCUUCCUCAACUGUCUCAGAACUCAAAGAUGCAGAACCAGACUCAGUUGCACAAUCAGACUUGGCUGCACUACUUCAAGAAGAUCAAACUGAGAUUCCAACAAUCACCAUUCAGAAAGAUGAUCAACCCAUCAAGGACGACCUGAUUCUCUUCGAACAGGAUGUAAUAGAAGAGGAGGCACCCAUGAAAUCAAAAUCAGACAGUGGAGUAGAGCAUCUAUUUGUCACUGAUUCAAACGGUUUCCAAAGGACAUUCUUGGGUACUUUUCUCAUCAGUCCUUUUUUGUGGAACAAGACCAGAGCAGUAGAGAUUUCAAGACACGAACUGGGCAUGGAACAUGUUGUAUUUGAUCCUGGAGGAGAGUUGUGGAAUCACAGGAACAAUCCCUUAGUGAUUGAGAAGAAAUCGGCAGCAACAACAAUUGUUUUUGAUGAUCUUUUACCCUCUGAAGCUAAAGGGAUGCACGUCUCUGCUCAGCAAGAGUUUCACUACGAAACCAAUUGGAGAAUGUUACCCACUCUUUCCUGGAUCCAACAAACCAGAAAACGCAGCAAAUGGUCUCCUGAUCAUCAAGAUAUUGUCAAUUCCGCAAAACAUAUCGGUUUAGCCAAAUUCUGUGAGCUGCUUAUAUCAGAUUGGGGUGGAAGGUUACAGUUCUACUUGUGGAAACCUGGAGCAUAUGCCAGCAUACUUAUCAUCCUUGGAGAGUGCUCUGCUCGAGGUAGAACCAGUUGGGUAAUAAAGAGUUGGAAGCUGAUCAAAAUGCCUUGCUUCUUGAUCAUGUCAAGGUGUGGAAGCCACCAGAUUUGCAAAAGCUUCAAUACCAUUUCAGAGAUUAUCAAACCAAGAGUGGAGAUGGAGAUUUCACUAGAGUAAAUGGUGAAGUGAUUACUGGAAUAGGAGGAGAACUCAUUUUUUCUUCUCGAAUCAAGGAGAAACCACUAGAUGGAAUCAGUCUACAUCAAUCUCCAAAUAAACCAACCCGAGGUAAUUAUCUAGAUUCAAAGAAACGCAUGAAACCUGAUUUGCUUUCUAUUGGUACAGGUCAAACAGUUCUGAGUACUAGAAUUUUCGAAAAGAGAGACUAUAGUAAUGAUCAGAGUAUCAAGAAUGGAUCUUUGGCUAAAUUGGAGAUGCAACAAUCAAAUCUUGGAAGCUGUCUAGCCGCCAACUCUGACAUAGGAGCAGUCCGAGGAUCAUAUAUUGGAGAUGCAACAAUCAAAUCUUGGAAGCUGUCUAGCCGCCAGCUUUGACAUAGGAGCAGUCCGAGGAUCAUAUCUCAACAACCAAAAGGAAUUAAGCAACAAACUCGACUGCAAUAGAAACUUAACUCAUCUGGGUCUCACGUCGAAUUGGAAUCAUGUCCAAAGCUUCUCAGGUGAAAUAGUUAUGAGUUUUAGAAGUCGGGUGAUCCUGUGUUUGCUUUGUUUGAAAUUUUCUGAGUUUAGAACAUCUCAAUUCUAUCUAUGGCGACCAGGUGAGUAUGUUAAUGUAAGUGAUCAUGUUCUCAAGAAUUCUUUUAUCACUGAUUAUACAGAUAUGAUGCACUUGUUUUUGUCAAAAGAGCCAUGUGCAGAUUUUAAGAGAGCUGGGAAGCAUAUAAGAAGAAACUACAAAAAUGAGGAAGAUAAGAGAUUCAAACCACCUGAUCAAGACCAGGAUAAUCACCAAGACGUCCCUGGCUUUAUCAUCAUCAAAGAAGCACCUCCAGAUGCAGCCUACAAUCCAAAACCGAGCAGAAACAAAUUUGGGAUAAGACUCUUACUUUAUGACAACUUCGCAUGUGCUAACUUGUUUUGUUUCAGUGUGUGUGAAUCGGGUUUGGGGAAUGCAUCAGGAGUAUGGAGAGCCCAACGUAUCAGUUCCUUCUACCAAACAAAUCCAGUCAGCAACAAUGCCUAACAAAGAGGCUUGCAAGGUAAGUGUAAUCUGAUUAUCAACGUUAAUGUUACUGACUUGGCUCCUUUUGUUGCAGAUGAGCUAUUCCCAGUUUGGGAAUAGCACAGCUUCUUCGUCGUUCUAAUCAAACCAGGAUGAAUAACUUUGUAAGAAGCUUUAUUUGGAUACAUAAAGUGGUGGAGAAUCACCAGGAAGUUGAUAUGAUCAUGGACCAGCCAAACAAAGAAGAUAAUGAGAGCAUGGAUGAUCCUGCUGAUGGAGGAGCUCUAGCCAUAUCUGAAGGUCCUAUGACUCGAGCCAGAAGCAAGCAACUCAAAGAAGCCAUUGGAGGAUUACUUAAGACAUCACUGAAGCAAGAAGAGAGUCUUGGAAGAAGCUUGAUCAACCAAGACACACUUGCCACAAUUCAAGCCAUCUCAGCUCCAAGAUAGACAUCAAAUGAGCAAGUAACAUAUGUGUGCUCUUUUUCCCUAUCUUUGGUUUUGUCCCACUGGGUUUUCCAAAGAUAGGUUUUUAAUGAGGCCAUAUGUUGCUUUCCUAUCACUCAUUUGAUGAUCUCAGUUCAAGACUUUAUUUUAAUUAUUUAUCUUUGUUAACAUGAAGCAGAAUUAGGCUGCUAGACUUGAGAAUUAGGCUGCUAGACUUGAGAAUUAAGCUGCCAGACUUGAGAACCCUUAUAAGGUUUUAUAAGGUUUUUAUAAGGUUUUAUAAGGUUUAUUUUUAAGGCCCAUUUAGAGACCAAGGAGCCUGUUCCUUGCCUUCUCUAUAAAUAUGUGUCUGAAAACCCUAAUAGAUCUAUCCAAUCUUUAUUUCUAAACUCUUGUUUCUCUCUAGUCGGCCGCAAGCUUGUCUUGUAGAUCUGAGAUUUCUUGAGUCUUUGUUAGUGUGUCAUAUCUAACAAAACCACAAGAGUGAUUGUCUUGGUGUGUCAUAUCCAAGGGAUUCACUUAGGAGUAUCAAGGAGACCUCUCACAUCUCUUUGUGUCACCAUUCAUUCCACAAACCUUGAAGCAGGUUGAGUCUUUGAUUCUCUGUUUGCAAGGAUCUAUCCCAUUCCAACCAGAGAAGCAUCCUAGGAGUGUAUUAUGUGGUAUCAGAGCAACUCUGGCUAGGGAAGUUCUCGUUUUCUUUAAGUUUUCACUCAAAUCUGUCUCUUGGUUUCAUAACUAUUGAAAGAUCUGAGUUUUGUUGUGUUGUUUCUGUCGAUUUGAUUCACUCUGAGUUCAGUAUUGCUAGAUCUGUUGCUGUGUGUUUUUAAAUUGAUAGAUCUGAAAGUUUCUAUUUUAGAUCUGUGAUAGAUCCGAUCAUCUCUUGUUGUUUCUUUGAUAGAUCUGUGUUUCUAUUGUUGAAAUCUGAUAAAUCUGAGUGUUUUGAUCAUAAAUCUGUUGAAGUCAUUUCAUAUACUCUUUGAUUUCGUGUUGAUCUAUAUUUCUUGUGAAGAAAUCUAUCGAAAUAGGGUUGUUUAAUCUUAUUCCUGGUAUUAGACUCUUCGGAUCCUUGUUGAAGAAGUUUCAGAUUUGUUUUGUUGAAUUGAAUCUGAUAAUUAUUGAGAAAUCGAUCUGUUCUUGUCUUUGGUUGAGUUCGAAAUUGAUCAGAGAAGUUAAAGGUUUGAUUUUUGUCGUUUGAUCAGUUUAUGUUUGGUUCAAAAUUGAUCGUUUCUUUUCUUGUGGUUAUUUGUUUCUGAUUAUCAACUUAUUUUAUUUAGAAUUGAAUUUCAAUUUGUAUCUGUCUCUGUUACAAGUUGAUUGUUUGUUUUCUUUAGAACUUGUUACUGCUGUGUGUUGUUUUCUGUUUCAGGUACCAUGGCAGGUGAUCAGAAAGGAAAACUUACUGAGGAUGAAAGGUUUAUACUUGAAGCAAUGACUACGAGAAUGGAGAAGAUGAUGGACUCCAAACUUGAAUCUUUUCGCCAUGAGCUACAUUCAUCCAAGAAUCAAAGGCAGAAAAGAACAAGAAAAGAAGAAACCAAGAUGGCUGAUUAUGAGAAAAAAAUCAGUAGCAUUGACAAGGAGAUUAUUAACAUCAUCAAGCAUUUAGACAAGCAGAAGAAGCUCAUAAAGCAUCAAGAAUCAGUUUCUACUGUCUCAAAACUUAAAGCUGCAGAACCAGACUUAGCUGCACCUAUCCAAGAAGAUCAGGCCAAAGUAUCUGCUCCUGUCAUUCAAAAAGAAAAGAAACCAGUUCAAGAGGUCAUGGUUCCUAUCAUACAGAAGGUGAUAGAAGAGGAGGCACCCACUGAACCACAAGAAGAUCAUGGAAUGAAUAAGCUGAUUGUCUUUGAUCCAUCUGAUUUUCAAAGGACUUUCUUGAGUACUUUUUUCAUCAGUCCUUUUGUUUGGAACAAGACCAGAGCAGUGGAGCUUUCAAGACACGAAAUGGGCAUGAAGCAUGUUGUAUUUGAGCCUGGAGGAAAGCUGUGUAGUCUCAGGAAAAAGAACCAACUAAUUGAAAAGGAAUCAGCUGCAGCAACAUUUGAUUUUGUUAAUUUCUCAACCUCUGAAGAUAAGGUGUUGCACGCCUCAGCUCAACAGGAAUUUCACUACGAAACCAAUUGGAAAAGGUUACCCACUCUGUCCUGGUUCCAGCAAACCAGAAAGCGCAGCAAAUGGCCACCUGAUCAUCAAGAUAUUACUAGAUUGGCAAAACAUAUCGGUUUGAAUUCAUUCCGAGAGAUGUCUAUGUCUGAUUGGGUUGGAAGAUUACAGACCUACCUGUGGAGACCUGGAGCGUAUGUCAGCAUAUUUAUCUUCCUUGGAGAGCACUCUGUCCGUUCUAGAAUCAUCUUGGGUAAUAAUGAGUUGGAAGCUGAUCAAAACUCCUUGCUUCUCGGCCAUAUCAAGAUAUGGAAACCACCUGAUAUGCAGCAGCUUCAGCACCAUUACAGAGACUAUCAAACCAUGAGUGGAGAUGGAAGAUUCACUGGAGAGAAUGGUGAAGUGAUUACUGGAUCAGGAGAAGAACUCAUAUUUUCUUCUCAAAUCAAGGAGAAACUACCAGAUCAACAUAGCUUACAACAAACUCCAAAGCAACCAAUCCAAGGUCAAACUCUUUUGAGGUCUACACUUUUCAAAAAUAGGAGCUAUAAUAAUCAGAGUACCAGUGAUGAAUUCUUGGCUAAAUUGGGGAUGCAACAAGAAAACCUUGGAAGCUGUCUAGCCGCCAGACUUGACAUAGGAUCAGUCCGAGGAUCAUAUCUCAACAACCACAAGGAAUUAAGCAACGAAACAAACUGCAAUGGAAACCUAACUCAUCAGGGUCUCACGUCGAAUUGGAAUCAUGUCCAAAGCUUCUCAGGUGAGAGAGUUAUGGGUUCUACCACUCAGGUGAUCCUCUGUGUGCUUUAUUUGAAUUUUUCUAAGUUUAUAAAAUCUCAAUCCUAUCUAUGGCGACCAGGUGAGUAUGCAAGGGUAAGUAAUUAUGUUUUCAAGAAUUAUUUUAUUGAUUACACAGAUAUGAUGCACUUGUUUUUGUCAAAAGAGCCAUGUGCAGAUUAUAAGGAAGCUUGGAAGCAAUCAAGGAGAAAGAACAAGCAUGAGGAAGACAAUCGGUUCAAGCCACCUGAUCUGAACAAGAACCAACAUGUCCCUGGUUUUAUCCUCAUCAAAGAAGCUCCCCCAGAUGCAGCCUACAAUCCAAAACUGAGCAAAAACCGAUUUGGGAUAAGACUCUUACUCUUUGAUAAAUUUUCAUUUGCUAACUUGUUGUGUUUCAAUGAGUUUGAAUCAGGUUUUAGGAAUGCAUCAGGAGUAUGGAGAGCCCAACGUAUCAGUUCCUUCUACCAAUCAAAUCCAGUCAGCAACAAUGCCUAUCAAAGAGGCUUGCAAGGUAAGUGUAAUCUGAUUAUCAACGUUAAUGUUACUGACUUGGCUCCUUUUGUUGCAAAUGAGAUAGAUUUGAGGACAAAUCCUUUUCAAGAGGGAGGGGAUGAUAUGAUCAUGGACCAGCCAAACAAAGAAGAUAAUGAGAGCAUGGAUGAUCCAACUGAUGGAGGAGCUCUAGCCAUAUCUGAAGGUCCUAUGACUCGAGCCAGAAGCAAGCAACUCAAAGAAGCCAUUGGAGGAUUACUUAAGACAUCACAGAAGCAAGAAGAGAGUCUUGGAAGAAGCUUGAUCAACCAAGACACACUUGCCACAAUUCAAGCCAUCUCAGCUCCAAGAUAGACAUCAAAUGAGCAAGUAACAUAUGUGUGCUCUUUUUCCCUAUCUUUGGUUUUGUCCCACUGGGUUUUCCAAAGAUAGGUUUUUAAUGAGGCCAUAUGUUGCUUUCCUAUCACUCAUUUGAUGAUCUCAGUUCAAGACUUUAUUUUAAUUAUUUAUCUUUGUUAACAUGAAGCAGAAUUAGGCUGCUAGACUUGAGAAUUAGGCUGCUAGACUUGAGAAUUAAGCUGCCAGACUUGAGAACCCUUAUAAGGUUUUAUAAGGUUUUUAUAAGGUUUUAUAAGGUUUAUUUUUAAGGCCCAUUUAGAGACCAAGGAGCCUGUUCCUUGCCUUCUCUAUAAAUAUGUGUCUGAAAACCCUAAUAGAUCUAUCCAAUCUUU
RNAcentral lists this long non-coding RNA (8747 nucleotides) under Brassica napus (rape). RNAcentral describes it as "long non-coding RNA (BNAP_LNC012187)". Lineage: Eukaryota; Viridiplantae; Streptophyta; Magnoliopsida; Brassicales; Brassicaceae. The record is from RNAcentral.